AUACGGAGGAUCCGAGCGUUAUCCGGAUUUAUUGGGUUUAAAGGGUGCGCAGGCGGGAGAUUAAGUCGGCGGUGAAAUUUUGCAGCUCAACUGUAAAAGGGUCUUCGAAACUGGUUUCCUUGAGUGUAGAUGAAGUAGGCGGAAUUUGUGGGGUAGCGGUGAAAUGCAUAGAUAUCACGAGGAACUCCGAUUGCGCAGGCAGCUUACUAAACUACUACUGACGCUCAGGCACGAAGGCGUGGGGAUCAAACAGGAUUAGAUACCCUGGUAGUCCACGCAGUAAACGAUGAUUACUAGCUGUUUGCGAUACAAUGUAAGCGGCUGAGCGAAAGCGUUAAGUAAUCCACCUGGGGAGUACGUUCGCAAGAAUGAAACUCAAAUGAAUUGACGGGG
Molecule: ribosomal RNA, 393 nt
Filed under: uncultured bacterium
Lineage: Bacteria
Description: partial 16S ribosomal RNA
Rfam family: Bacterial small subunit ribosomal RNA
Source: RNAcentral